Molecule: non-coding RNA, 30 nt
Filed under: Rattus norvegicus (Norway rat)
Lineage: Eukaryota; Metazoa; Chordata; Mammalia; Rodentia; Muridae
Source: RNAcentral
UGUGAUUUCUGCCUGCAUGUAUAUGCACCA